GAUGAAGUGAUUCAUUGACUGAAGGAAGCCAAACGGUCCGCUAGCUAGCGGAUUUUGACGAACAGAAACUACAUACGGAGGCUCAAUAACCGUGGUUGAGCAAGCACACCAUUGCAAAGGCCGUGCUGUUAGUGGUGUUGGGUAGAUGUAGCAGAAAUAGGGAGAAAGAUAAGUGC
This is a non-coding RNA of Marivirga tractuosa DSM 4126, 176 nucleotides long. The record is from Rfam. NCBI's taxonomy places the organism in Bacteria, Pseudomonadati, Bacteroidota, Cytophagia, Cytophagales, Marivirgaceae.